RNAcentral lists this ribosomal RNA (201 nucleotides) under Listeria monocytogenes. Its description in RNAcentral is "partial 23S ribosomal RNA". It matches the Rfam family "Bacterial large subunit ribosomal RNA", at positions 512 to 715 of the family's 2925-position model. The record is from RNAcentral. Lineage: Bacteria; Bacillati; Bacillota; Bacilli; Caryophanales; Listeriaceae.
AGGUGAAAAGCACCCCGGAAGGGGAGUGAAACAGUUCCUGAAACCGUGUGCCUACAAGUAGUUAGAGCCCGUUAAUGGGUGAUAGCGUGCCUUUUGUAGAAUGAACCGGCGAGUUACGAUUUGUUGCCAGGUUAAGCGGAAAAAGCGGAGCCGUAGCGAAAGCGAGUCUGAAUAGGGCGCAUAAGUAACAGGUCGUAGACC